UACGUAGGGAGCAAGCGUUGUCCGGAAUCAUUGGGCGUAAAGCGCGCGCAGGCGGCCUUUUAAGUCUGAUGUGAAAGCCCACGGCUCAACCGUGGAAGGUCAUUGGAAACUGAAAGGCUUGAGUGCAGAAGAGGAAAGCGGAAUUCCACGUGUAGCGGUGAAAUGCGUAGAGAUGUGGAGGAACACCAGUGGCGAAGGCGGCUUUCUGGUCUGUAACUGACGCUGAGGCGCGAAAGCGUGGGGAGCAAACAGG
RNAcentral lists this ribosomal RNA (253 nucleotides) under uncultured bacterium. Its description in RNAcentral is "partial 16S ribosomal RNA". It matches the Rfam family "Bacterial small subunit ribosomal RNA", at positions 524 to 776 of the family's 1533-position model. The record is from RNAcentral.